GGGGGUUGGAAUACGAAGUGAAUGCUAACAGGGGUUUCUUUUUGGGGUGAUGGAAAUGUCCUAAAAUGGAUUGUGGUGGUGGUACACAACUCUGUGAAAAUACAAAAAACCAUGGAACUGUACAGUUUAAAGGAUGAAUUAUAUGGUAUGUCAUAAUAUCUCAAUAGGCUAUUAAAAAAUACCUCCCCACAACACUACUCCAAAGAGGUUACAGUAAAUACAUGUAAAUAUGUUAGAAAUAUUAAUUUGUUCACUUUUUUUUUUGUUGAGAUGGAGUCUCAGUCUGUCUCCCAGGCUAGAGUGCAGUGGCGCGAUCUUGGCUCACUGCAA
This 330-nucleotide long non-coding RNA is filed under the name Homo sapiens (human). RNAcentral's name for it is "HSALNT0266803". The record is from RNAcentral. Lineage: Eukaryota; Metazoa; Chordata; Mammalia; Primates; Hominidae.